CCUACGGGGGGCACCAGUGGGGAAUAUUGCACAAUGGGCGCAAGCCUGAUGCAGCCAUGCCGCGUGUAUGAAGAAGGCCUUCGGGUUGUAAAGUACUUUCAGCGGGGAGGAAGGUGUUGUGGUUAAUAACCACAGCAAUUGACGUUACCCGCAGAAGAAGCACGGGCUAACUCCGUGCCAGCAGCCGCGGGAAUACGGAGGGUGCAAGCGUUAAUCGGAAUUACUGGGCGUAAGGCGCACGCAGGCGGUCUGUCAAGUCGGAUGUGAAAUCCCCGGGCUCAACCUGGGAACUGCAUUCGAAACUGGCAGGCUAGAGUCUUGUAGAGGGGGGUAGAAUUCCAGGUGUAGCGGUGAAAUGCGUAGAGAUCUGGAGGAAUACCGGUGGCGAAGGCGGCCCCCUGGACAAAGACUGACGCUCAGGUGCGAAAGCGUGGAGAGCAAACAGGAUUAGAUACCCCUGUAGUC
Molecule: ribosomal RNA, 465 nt
Filed under: uncultured bacterium
Lineage: Bacteria
Description: bacterial SSU rRNA
Rfam family: Bacterial small subunit ribosomal RNA
Source: RNAcentral